UCAAAAAUAUUUACCCCUACACUAUCUGUACUUUUUUUCAUUCAUUUCUUAUGCAUCCUCCAGAUCUUCCAUGUAGAGAUUGAGUUAGGUUGAGGAGGAUCCUCUUUAGAAAGUCACACACUGCGAAUGCAGCGCAGGCACGUUAGUGUAAAUUGGCUCAGUCCAGUUAAUUUCUUGUGCCCCAAUGAAAUCCAUCAGAAUGAAGAACUGAAAUGUUCAUUUUUGAGAAGUGAUUUUGCAGCAUGUACUGAUGGUAGAUGUGGAAUGGAGAACUGGAGAACUGAACCCUAAUGGGAAAGGAUUUUGUAGUUCAAUUCAUCCUUGGGGAAGCAGGUUAUGAUGACGGGGGAGGAUCCCCAAGGAAAAUGUUGCACAACUAGAAAAAAAAAAUGUGUCUUUGGGCAUAGAAGAAGAUGAGGGAAAGGAAUUUUCCUCUCAUUUAUCGUAUGCCCAAUUAUGGAACUCCCAAGACUCAGCACCCAGACUGUGUGGAGAACACUCUGGCAUGGCAUUGUGGGUUAGAGACGUGAGUGAGCCAGUCUGUCAAUCUGAUGAUGGCUUUCAACAUCUCUUAAUGAAGUAGAAUGAUCUGCUCUUGAAAAGUACGUCGUUUUUAAACAAAGGGCUCCAAGAAGUGACUUCAGUUGACAGAGGCAGGGAAUGAAGGACACCCCCCAGUCCUUCAUGCAGCUUUGCCCACCUCCAGCCUCUCAUUAUCCCCAGCCUCACGCUGAAUUGACCCCAAUUUACAGUCCUGCUCAGCCGCUCACGUGGGACGAGUUGCCAUUAGGACUGAACAGGACUUCCUUUGUUUCCCUCCCAUUUCUGCUCCUCGAUGCACAAUAUAGAAAUGGAUUUCACUUUAAGAAGAUCAAAGCAGUAACUCUAGUAUGGCUAUGUUGUUUCAAUAAAAAGAUUGUUGACUGCUGAAGGUGGGUUUUUCUCAAAGAGCCACUGGCCCAUACAGAGUCCUAAAUAAUCCUUCUCGAAGAAAUGGGAAAUAUAUCAAGGAGCAAACAUAGGUUUCCUUUCAUUCCUCCUGUCCAUGUUUCUUACUUGGUUAUAUUACGAAGUCUUGAGAGGAAAAAAAUGACCACUUGUGUACACAAGGUUCACAUAAGCAAUAGAAGCAAAUGAAUCAAUCAAAAAAAAUGGCCUCCUCUAAAACAAUGAAGAAAACACGGAGAGAAACUAAUUUUUUUUUCUUUUUUGUAACCACAAAGUCAGCUUUGAGCAACUUGUAUAAUGGGGGAGCAUCUGUAGCAGGGUGGGUGACCCCUGAUGGUUCCACCUCAGUCCGAUGCCUCGUGUUUAACAGUGAGUCAAGAACAAUUUUAUAGUCAAUUAAAAAUGAUAAACCACCAUGAAAACCACAAUUGUUUUGGAUAACCCUAUCAAUGGUAAUGUUUCUACUCUUAACUUGAUAGAUAUCUAGGUCAUUUUAAGUUGAUUCUAAGAUAAUGUUGGAUUAACCGAAUUCUGUCAUUUCUAUUCUAUGUUCCUGUGAUUAAGAAGAAAACCUUUAAAUUUUUUUUGUAAAAACCCCUAGAAUAGUUUAAAUGCCAAUGAGUGCAAUUAUGAGGAGUUUCUUGUUGUUUUUAACCCUAUUCAGCCUGUCUGAUCAGUUUAUGUUUGUGUCCUACCUCUAGCCCUGAGGGCAAGGCAAGAUCUGAUCUUGGAAGGCUUAACUUUCAGGUAUUAAGGAUAAAAGGUUUUCCCAUCAAUGAAUCUUGCUAUGUUGUCCAGGCUGGCCUCAAACUCCUGGGCUCUAGCAAUCCUCCUGCCCCUGACCCUGGCCGCUGGUACCACAAGAGACACCAUCACACCCAACUGUGCUUAGUAUUUCUGCCUCUUUGAUUCUCGGCUGAACUAUACAUUUACUCUUUGUUUUUUAUGUAUGUUUCUAGCAUACUGUAUCUGUAUUUAUAAAAUCUGCUUUUGUUGUAAUUCCAGCCUUUGGGGAGAUAGGAAAAUGAAAUUACCAUCUUUCUUGAUGGCAGGGGGACAAAAAACUAAAAUAUAUUCAGCAUCUUUGUGAAAUGGUGGGCAUCUUUUCUUUUAAAAGAUUUGUAGAAUUCAUUCAUAUGAAGCCUAAUACCAUAUGAUGACAGGGGAAACGCUGAGUGGCACUGCACUCUUGAGCAGUCUUACCAUGUCACUCAUCUUAGCAGGUUAACUAAGUUUUUAAUCAAAGUCCAGAACUUUUUAUACAUCCU
This 2216-nucleotide long non-coding RNA is filed under the name Marmota monax (woodchuck). The record is from RNAcentral. Lineage: Eukaryota; Metazoa; Chordata; Mammalia; Rodentia; Sciuridae.